RNAcentral lists this ribosomal RNA (253 nucleotides) under uncultured bacterium. Its description in RNAcentral is "partial 16S ribosomal RNA". It matches the Rfam family "Bacterial small subunit ribosomal RNA", at positions 524 to 776 of the family's 1533-position model. The record is from RNAcentral.
UACGGGGGGGGCAAGCGUUGUUCGGAAUUACUGGGCGUAAAGGGCUCGUAGGCGGCCAACUAAGUCGGACGUGAAAUCCCUCGGCUUAACCGGGGAACUGCGUCCGAUACUGGAUGGCUUGAGUUUGGGAGAGGGAUGCGGAAUUCCAGGUGUAGCGGUGAAAUGCGUAGAUAUCGGGAGGAACACCAGUGGCGAAGGCGAUCACCUGGGGUUGUUCUGACGCUGAGGAGCGAAAGCUAGGGGAGCAAACGGG